AAAGAGGAAACCCUCCCUCUCUCCCCUGCCAGCCGCCUCUCACUCUUCUCCCUUAGCUGCCAGCCCCUCUCCCUUCUCCCCUCCAUCCCUUAGUCGUCACCUCCCCUCCCUUCUUCCCCUUUCCCCUUCCGCUUCCCCUCCCCUUUCUCCCUUACCGUUUCUCUCCCCCUUUCUUUCCAACACCUCCCCUCCCUCUUCUCUUCUCCCUUCCCUCUCCUUGCAGCCCCUUCUCUACCUCCCUUUUCCCGGUGACAUCCAUCAGGAAACCCAGCAGCAGCCGAAACAACAGCCGGACAGCAACCCCACCAGCAGCAACUCCGACGAGAGCAGCUCCAGCAGUCGAGUCCAUCAGCAACAACAACUCCAACCAGCAGCGGCCAGAAAUCGACAACACAGCAGGCGAGGCGGACAGCAGCUUGUAACAGCCAGCGAAGACAGCUGCGAGGCAGCGAACCACCGGUAAUAGCAGUCUGGUGAGGAGCGGAAGCACCAAACGGCGGAGGCUGGACUUUCUUCCCUUCUCUCUUUAUCCUCUUCGUCCAGCAGCUCGAGGAGACACCACCAGCAACCACUCAUCCCCAGCGAAGCUCCAAAAUAUUGACGAACAGGGAACAACAGAUCAGGUACACAGAGGUGCUUCGCCUUGAAAUUAUUCGAAAAGUUCGAAUUAUAUUUUUAUUUCAUUAUUUUGUAAAUAUUGACGUUAGGCAAACUGUAGGCCGAUUAUUAUUUUAUUUUAUUGUGUAUAUUGUGUGUUUAUUAUAUGUGUUUAUUUUAUAUUCUUCCUCAAUUUGAAAAAAAAUGAAUUCAGUCGGGAACCACAUUUGUGGAUUCCGAAGGGUGCCUAACCACUUCCCUUCGGAAUAACUUGAACCCCUUAUCUAGAAUCAAUUUGGUUUUCUAGAUUAAUAAUUGGUUUCCUAGUUUUUCUAAAAUUAGGUGGCGACUCUUUUUAAAACUCAUUUAUUUUAAAACUUUGUUAAAAUUGAAUCAAUUAAUUAUUUUCGAGUUGCAGCGACGUUUCGCCCUAUUUCGGCAGAGUAGGGAUGUAAACAGAAUGGCGACUCUGCUGGGGAGUUUAGAGGUUCUAACCAAUAUGAAUUUAUAUUUUUUCAAAUUGAGGAAAUUUUUUUCUAUUGUUAUGUUAUAGCUUGUAUUUUUAUUUUGUUGAUUAUUUGUAUAUUGUAUUUAUUCAUUAUUCAUUUUAUUGCGUGUAUAUUAUCAUUGCAUUUCAUGGAAUAAUUCCCGUCAAAACGACAAAUAGUUUGCAUUAGGACAAAGGAAGUUACGUGGCUUACCACGGCUUCCUUCAGAAAAACACACAAGUCUAAUCUUUGAAAGUAAUAAACGAAUAGUUGGCUUGCAGUCAUUCAACGUCGUUUAUUAGCUUCACCCCGUUGUCUGUCCGACUCGGGUAACCGUCACUUCUAUACCAAUUCUAGUCAUCCUAGGAUAGAGCAAAAUCAAAUCCGAAUUUAAGCAUUAGCCUAAGAUGACCCGACACCCAAGGCGUGUUGAGCCCAUUAGAAGACCACCUUGAGUCCAAAACGGCCCACGGCCUAAAUGGACGUUCAUACUUAUGUGUUUAAAUUUGAAGGAUGUAUAUGUUGUUUGAGAAAAUUAUUGUCUCAUAGUGUAACGAUUAGAUUAUAGUUUGCUUAGGUUAAAGAAAUAGCUUCACCAGCUACUAGCCUAUUCGAAGAUAUUGCCACCCGAAGAUGACAACAAAUCAAGAAAGCAGAAGGAUCUUUAAUGGAGGCAUAGUUUAGGGUCGUACCCCUGCGUGGGACUGAUUAUUUUAUAUAAGUUUUCCCUAUUAUGUAUUCCCAUUAGGUUUUAUUCAUAAAAUUUGUAUAAAUUUGAGUUUUGGGGCAAUGAAAUAUUUCAAAUGACGUAUGCAUCCUUCAAAUCGAUAGGCCUACCCUAGGCAUAAAAGGGUCACAUAUUUGUAUAGGGCGCGCAAUAAUUGUUUGUAUGCUAUGUGAUAUAUUAGGUUUAUCUUUAAUUAAAACAGUAAUUAUGUGCUUUAUUCAUUAUUUGUGUGAUAUUUUGCAUUAUUCAUUAUGUACAUGAACUAACACUUUUACAUUUUGAGUUGUUCUUCUUCAAAGCAAAAUGUUGAUUUAUGUCCGAAUUCAGAAAUUAUUAUUUGUCCAAAGUGGCAAGACACAAGAAGAUUAGAAAAAUUACAGUCCUUGCAUUUCUCAAUUAUAUCAAGUCAAAACGAUAAAUCAGGGGAGUAUUUGACUAUGAGGUCGUAUCCACUUAUUUUUAUUAUUAUUUUGCAUGACGGUCCUGCUCUCACAUAUUUCUCAUAUUUUUGUAGGGAUACCGUCCCCGACAUCAGUCGGGGAUGGUCAUAACUAUGUCUGGAUCUCGUGAAAAUUGGAAGGAGACAAAGAUCCAAGAAAACAUCCAAAAGAGUACAACAAAUCAUUACUGUAGAAAUUCGUAGGGUACAUUCAACAUACAGUAUAAAUAUUGACGAUUAAGAGGCUAUAAAACAUAUUGGUGCGGGAAAAAAAAAAGCACUUCAUGACUACAAAUUUCAGUGGCGUUAAACCUAGGAAUUUCUUUGAGUUGUCUAAA
Solanum pennellii is the source of this 2589-nucleotide long non-coding RNA. RefSeq lists it as uncharacterized. The transcript is spliced from 2 exons. The record is from RefSeq and is a predicted model, not a curated record. NCBI's taxonomy places the organism in Eukaryota, Viridiplantae, Streptophyta, Magnoliopsida, Solanales, Solanaceae.